GUAACAGGCGAGUGCUUGCACUUGCGCUGACGAGUGGCGGACGGGUGAGUAACGCGUAGGAAUCUACCUGGUAGUGGGGGAUAGCCCGGGGAAACUCGGAUUAAUACCGCAUACGCCCUACGGGGGAAAGCAGGGGCUCUUCGGACCUUGCGCUAUUGGAUGAGCCUGCGUUAGAUUAGCUAGUUGGUGGGGUAAAGGCCUACCAAGGCGACGAUCUAUAGCUGGUCUGAGAGGAUGAUCAGCCACACUGGGACUGAGACACGGCCCAGACUCCUACGGGAGGCAGCAGUGGGGAAUAUUGCGCAAUGGGCGAAAGCCUGACGCAGCCAUGCCGCGUGUGUGAAGAAGGCUCUAGGGUCGUAAAGCACUUUAAGUGGGGAGGAAGGCUACUUGGUUAAUACCUGAGUAGAUUGACGUUACCCACAGAAUAAGCACCGGCUAACUCCGUGCCAGCAGCCGCGGUAAUACGGAGGGUGCGAGCGUUAAUCGGAAUUACUGGGCGUAAAGCGCGCGUAGGCGGUUUUGUAAGCUGGGUGUGAAAGCCCCGGGCUCAACCUGGGAACUGCAUUCAGAACUGCAAGGCUAGAGUACAGUAGAGGGUGGUAGAAUUUCCUGUGUAGCGGUGAAAUGCGUAGAUAUAGGAAGGAAUACCAGUGGCGAAGGCGGCCACCUGGACUGAUACUGACCCUGAGGUGCGAAA
Molecule: ribosomal RNA, 700 nt
Filed under: uncultured bacterium
Lineage: Bacteria
Description: bacterial SSU rRNA
Rfam family: Bacterial small subunit ribosomal RNA
Source: RNAcentral